GAUGAACGCUGGCGGCGUGCCUAAUACAUGCAAGUCGAGCGAACGGACGAGAAGCUUGCUUCUCUGAUGUUAGCGGCGGGCGGGUGAGUAACACGUGGAUAACCUACCUAUAAGACUGGGAUAACUUCGGGAAACCGGAGCUAAUCCCGGAUGAUAUUUUGAACCGCAUGGUUCAAAAGUGAAAGACGGUCUUGCUGUCACUUAUAGAUGGAUCCGCGCUGCAUUAGCUAGUUGGUAAGGUAACGGCUUACCAAGGCAACGAUGCAUAGCCGACCUGAGAGAGUGAUCGGCCACACUGGAACUGAGACACGGUCCAGACUCCUACGGGAGGCAGCAGUAGGGAAUCUUCCGCAAUGGGCGAAAGCCUGACGGAGCAACGCCGCGUGAGUGAUGAAGGUCUUCGGAUCGUAAAACUCUGUUAUUAGGGAAGAACAUAUGUGUAAGUAACUGUGCACAUCUUGACGGUACCUAAUCAGAAAGCCACGGCUAACUACGUG
Molecule: ribosomal RNA, 497 nt
Filed under: uncultured bacterium
Lineage: Bacteria
Description: partial 16S ribosomal RNA
Rfam family: Bacterial small subunit ribosomal RNA
Source: RNAcentral